Molecule: long non-coding RNA, 306 nt
Organism: Bos indicus x Bos taurus (hybrid cattle)
Lineage: Eukaryota; Metazoa; Chordata; Mammalia; Artiodactyla; Bovidae
Source: Ensembl
AUGAUCCUACUGGGGAAGCACAUUUUAGAUAAUUUUCCCAAAUGUCUUUAUAGGUUAUACUUCCAGAGAAUCUGUUGCAAAACAGCGUACAGAGACCGCUGUCACUUGGGAUUCACCAGGUUAUACUUCCAGAGAACCUGUUGCAACACAGCGUACAGAGACCACUGUCACUUGGGAUUCACCAGGUUAUACUUCCAGAGAACCUGUUGCAACACAGCGUACAGAGACCACUGUCACUUGGGAUUCACCAGGUUAUACUUCCAGAGAACCUGUUGCAACACAGCGUACAGAGACCACUGUCACUUG